Molecule: long non-coding RNA, 920 nt
Filed under: Setaria italica (foxtail millet)
Lineage: Eukaryota; Viridiplantae; Streptophyta; Magnoliopsida; Poales; Poaceae
Description: long non-coding RNA (SITA_LNC000210)
Source: RNAcentral
CGAAUUCCACUGAAAACUGUACAUCGUCAAAAUGGCUUAGUCACAUGUUCAAAGGAACUGUAGUUUCAUCAAUGAACAUCUCAUUUGGAAUGUACACUAAAUCCUGAUUGCCAAUAGGAUCUAUGGUCACCAUUUACAAGCAGUUUUUCACUAGCAAUAUUGGUAGACUGUUACCUUCUUUUAGAUUGCGUAUGAUUCUCCUAUUUUUUCUGUCAAAACUGCCAGGGGAAGCAGGUUGCCAGAUCGGUAGUAAAAGUUGGGUGCACCAUGUUGUCAAUGAAUACAGAGGAACCUGCAAUGAAAAGGUAUGCGAUUAAAUAACUUGCAGGGUGAGAUAAAUAUUUUUUUUUGGAAUUUUAGUGUCAACGAAUUUUUAAUAUGGAGGUUCACUAUGGAACAUGCAGGGUGAGAAAAAUAUUUAAUAUGCAGGGUGAGAUCAAUAUCAAUGAAUUUUGUUUUUGUUUAACCCCUGCAGAGAACAUGAUGGAACUAUGUGCUGAUUGAGCGGGCUUGCUGUAUGGUGUGGUUAUUUUAGAGUCGUUUGUGCACCGCAUUCUAAUCCUUCAUGGUUUGUGUGCAGAUGAAGAGAGUUUUGGAGAAGGCUGGCUGUUGAUUUGUAGCAUUGAACAAUCCUAUUCAUCUGCUCAAGAAAGUGGUCUGAUAUCUGAAGUCACAAUUACAUUGAAGAUGCCAUCCAUGCAUCUGUGAUCUAUCAAAGAAUCAUGGAUACAAGUUGGAGAAUGAGGCGUUCAUUAUUAACAAAAUCUUGCUAAUUGAUAAAGUAAUUGCCUUCUAUGAGGUAAUUGAAUCUUCAAUAUUACCCGUCAAGCAGCUAGGAAAGUCUUUACUGGGUCUAUGCAACUUCUGUCAAGUUUCAGUUCAUUGAACUGUUUUUUUACAGAAACAGAAUCUAAUCACCG